CCCAAGAGAUCGGGAUAACACCUGGAAACAGAUGCUAAUACCGGAUAACAACAGAUGAUGCCUAUCAACUGUUUAAAAGAUGGUUCUGCUAUCACUCUUGGAUGGACCUGCGGUGCAUUAGCUAGUUGGUAGGGUAACGGCCUACCAAGGCGAUGAUGCAUAGCCGAGUUGAGAGACUGAUCGGCCACAUUGGGACUGAGACACGGCCCAAACUCCUACAGGAGGCAGCAGGC
RNAcentral lists this ribosomal RNA (233 nucleotides) under uncultured Lactobacillus sp. RNAcentral's name for it is "partial 16S ribosomal RNA". It matches the Rfam family "Bacterial small subunit ribosomal RNA", at positions 129 to 354 of the family's 1533-position model. The record is from RNAcentral. Lineage: Bacteria; Bacillati; Bacillota; Bacilli; Lactobacillales; Lactobacillaceae.